This 1397-nucleotide long non-coding RNA is filed under the name Manihot esculenta (cassava). Its description in RNAcentral is "long non-coding RNA (MESC_LNC002497)". Lineage: Eukaryota; Viridiplantae; Streptophyta; Magnoliopsida; Malpighiales; Euphorbiaceae. The record is from RNAcentral.
CACAGAUGAGUUCCAAUAGACCCAAAUACCACCACUCGGACUAAUAGCUUCAAAUCUAAAUCAGUUCUCAAACCCCAUAUUAAUACAAACAACAUUAGCACACGAACCACUAGUUUUUGUUUUCACUAUAAUUAAAAUGGCAGGCCUAUAACCGCAACAUAAAUCCUUAAGAAUACGCUGGAUUCUUUUACCCGUAAUGCCAUAUAUAUUCCAGACUAAGAUUGAUAUAAACAAAAGACAUAAAGAGGGAAGGGAAGGGUGGAGCAUGAAUCCUGAAACAACCUCUAAUUACAGUAGUGUGUACCUCAUGAGCCUCACAGGGGGGCUCCUGGUUGGUGUCAUAGUGCAGUAUUCCCUUUUCAACAAUAAGGGACCAUAAUAUUAGAGAUAUCUUGCAAAAUAGUAGACUCCUGAAAAUGUAAUUCAGAAUCUCCCGGAUCAUUCGUCAUUCCAAUAUUCCAUACCUCCUUACAAUCCACAGUUCCAAUCCCUGCCUUACCAACAAUCACCGUAUGUUUGUGUAAAGCAACUGUGCCUCCAUGGGCCUUCACCAGUGAAUCAGAGCCAUUAGCUUGCUAUUCAAGUUAACGAAAACAGGUCCCCAGCCAUACUGACUUUUGGAUUGAGGGGAGCUCCUAGAAGUGCCCGGUAGAGUAUGCUGUGAAGUCCCCAAGGAAGCAUUCUCCAUUAGAGUUCCCAUAGACUUACCACUGACCCGAGUUGAGUUUGAUGAGUUGCAGGCAACCUUAGCAACAACAUUGGAAUUCAUAAGCCCCUGGUUAUCCAAAACAGUGAACCGAGACCCAACAGGUGUCUGUGAGGCACUUGAAGAUGCAAGAGAAAGCCUGAAAUUCCUUUUGAUACCAAACCACCGGAUUUAGCUCCAACCAGAUUGUUCGAUUGAUGCAGAAAAGAGCGUCGAAGUCGUUGUACCAUCAUCCACGGUCCGAAUUUAUCAACCAUUUCUGCCAACACAUAAGGGCCCGUCACAACGCCAUCGAUAGACUGGUCAGCUCGUAUAACAGCAGGAACAGGGUUUGUCUGUCUUCCAUAACCAUCUGGUCUUCGUCAGUGGCCAUAUGCCUACCAUGAGAGUCUAUACAUGCGGCGACCAUAACAACCACAUGAGAAUCAGAUAAGAUAAAUGCCUUCAUACUCAAUUCGGCGAACCCGACGACGUAGACGGAACUUUAAUAACAGCUGCAUGCUGAGAGAGGUCGACCUCUACACAGAUGCGAGCAUACUUACUCCGUGCAGCCUACAGAGUUGCUUCGUGAAGCUUGAUUAGGCGCCCAAUCCGACUACCCACCCUCAAGAGAAAAUUCUUGUCGUAAUAUUCAAUAGGCGAAUUGAGGAUACGAACCCAAAUCAGUGAUGUAUCAAUGGCAGCAAUCUCU